UACACAGUUAUGCAGACUUAUAGCACAAGCAAACACGAUGACAAAACAUUUGUUAUUCACAACUUUGACAAUGGCAAUACCAGUGUUUUGUUUUGUUCUCUUUGGAAUCGUUCGUGGAUCAAUUGGGGUUGAGGAUCUCCUCGCAUCAGUUCUUAUGCUAAUGAUACUUGUAGCAAUCUUAUUGUUUACCUUGAUAUCAGCAGGCAUACUAAAUAUCAAGGCACAUGACUGUUUGGAUGACAUUAUGAAUGCUAACCUAGUGGAUGUAACAGAACGAACCCUUCAAAUCAUCUCUAUCUUCGCUACCCGGUUAAAUGGACCUCAGAUAGGCUUCCACGUCUACCGCCUCUUCACAGUGGACACGUCAAUG
Molecule: long non-coding RNA, 370 nt
Organism: Haliotis rufescens (red abalone)
Lineage: Eukaryota; Metazoa; Mollusca; Gastropoda; Lepetellida; Haliotidae
Exons: 3
Source: RefSeq, a predicted model, not a curated record